Molecule: long non-coding RNA, 332 nt
Filed under: Amborella trichopoda
Lineage: Eukaryota; Viridiplantae; Streptophyta; Magnoliopsida; Amborellales; Amborellaceae
Description: long non-coding RNA (ATRI_LNC001107)
Source: RNAcentral
AUUAUCCAAAACCUUUCCCAUGUUGUAGGGAGUCAAAAGAGCUUUCAAUGAUCCAAAUUUCACUUUAAUCGGACCUACCAUUUAAGCGUUUGCCAAAACAUCAUGACCUGCUAGCCUUGAGAACUACAGGCCCCACAUGACUAGAAGUGACUCGAGCUUAUCUAAGCAAAGGCCCAUGCCUUGCCCAAAUGAUUCCCAGGUAUUGUGUAGCGACUUCUGGAAGAUUCCUGAACCUUUUGAAGGUAAUAAACUGGACUGACGGACUGUGUAUUUUGAAGAAUAUCAUGUUGCAGCGGUGAAGCCACAUGGGGACAUGUGUGGCCAUGUGAGCG